CCUACGGGAGGCAGCAGUGAGGAAUAUUGGUCAAUGGACGAGAGUCUGAACCAGCCAAGUAGCGUGAAGGACGACUGCCCUAUGGGUUGUAAACUUCUUUUAUAUGGGAAUAAAAUGUUCCACGUGUGGGAUUUUGUAUGUACCAGAUGAAUAAGGAUCGGCUAACUCCGUGCCAGCAGCCGCGGUAAUACGGAGGAUCCGAGCGUUAUCCAGAUUUAUUGGGUUUAAAGGGUGCGUAGGUGGAUUGUUAAGUCAGUUGUGAAAGUUUGGGGCUCAACCGUAGAAUUGCCGUUGAAACUGGCAGUCUUGAGUACAGUAGAGGUGGGCGGAAUUCGUGGUGUAGCGGUGAAAUGCUUAGAUAUCACGCAGAACUCCGAUUGCGAAGGCAGUUCACUGGACUGCAACUGACACUGAGGCACGAAAGUGUGGGUAUCGAACAGGAUUAGAUACCCUUGUAGUC
This 460-nucleotide ribosomal RNA is filed under the name uncultured bacterium. RNAcentral's name for it is "partial 16S ribosomal RNA". It matches the Rfam family "Bacterial small subunit ribosomal RNA", at positions 338 to 795 of the family's 1533-position model. The record is from RNAcentral.